AUAGCGUAUAUUAAAGUUGCUGCAGUUAAAAAGCUCGUAGUUGGAUUUCUGGCUUGAAACAUUAUGCCGGCCACGGUUUCGUGUGUCAGUGCAUGAUGUUCUGGCCAUCCUUCCAAUCGCUAUUGGCUUAUCUUCAUUGAUAGGUCAGUAGUAUUGGAUCUUUUACUUUGAAAAAAUUAGAGUGUUUCAAGCAGGCUUUAUGCUAUGAAUACAUUAGCAUGGAAUAAUAAUUUAGGACUUCGGUUCUAUUUUGUUGGUUUCUAGGACUGAAGUAAUGAUUGAUAGGGAUAGUUGGGGGUGCUAGUAUUCAGCGGCCAGAGGUGAAAUUCUCGGAUUCGCUGAAGACUAACUUAUG
RNAcentral lists this ribosomal RNA (355 nucleotides) under uncultured eukaryote. RNAcentral's name for it is "bacterial SSU rRNA". It matches the Rfam family "Eukaryotic small subunit ribosomal RNA", at positions 594 to 945 of the family's 1831-position model. The record is from RNAcentral.